UAAAAUGGUGUUUGUGUGUAUACAUAUUUAUGUACCAAUAGGAGUGAGACGUUUCCAUCCGCAACAAUGGUUGCAUGAUAUAAAUGCUCAAAACAAAUGUUCAUGUGAGACGAAGUGGAUGGAUCUCCUCACCACAGGAACUGAGACAAAAUGGGGUCUGUUUACUCCACAAAACCCUAACCCUAACCCUAAUCUCACUCCCCUCCCUUGCUCUCACUCCAGCUCUCCUUUUGCUUCUGUUUUGUAGAACAUGGUCCAUCUCUCAUCUAUUGGGGUCUAAUCUGAAACUCAACAUCCCACGCUGCCUUUACCUUUUUUUCCCACAAAAGUAGUGCUUGAUGUUGAUGUUGAUAACACCCAAAAGCUUUGCCUGUCCCUUAGUCUAAUGGAAUCCUUCAAAGGGGAUUUUAUUGUUUAUGUAUAUACAAUUGUACAUAUAUGUAAGUAAUUGAUAUUGUUAAUAAACCUGAAUUGAACACUGUACUUGGAGAAAAUAAUCACGUAUGCAAUUUUGAGCUCCAUUUGGACAGAAAUAUUCAAUUCCAAGAUAGUUUCAAGCAUUACAGUAAAUUUUAUUGAUUUAUUUUCCUGCAUUUGUAUGUGCACACAUGUGAAUGAAAUCCUUUAAAGCCACACCAUGCUCACAAUAAGUUACAUAACUUCCUUUGGAGAUGCAAAAUUUUGAUAGGAUAGAUAGAUAGGGGAAUGUUAAAUAGACCAAUAGUUUGACUAAAUAGACCCACCUUUGAUGAAGAAUAUGGUAAUUACAACAAAUGUGGUUGGUUUUUAUUAGUUGCAGAUCCGAUAAUGGGGAAAUGAAUCAUUGUUUUUUUUCAUGAAGGAUAGGAUGGGUGGGUCAAUUUUGUAAAAAAUUGGGUCUAUUUUAUAUAUAUAUAUAUAUAUAUAACACAUGUUUGAAAGAAAUAAGAAAAUGGAUUGUUGAUAGUUAUGUGAAAUCAUCAUUAAACCAUCCUACUUAAUUUGUAACUUAUUUCAAUGCUUAUCCAAUGUUAAUAUCUAAUAAUUCCAUUUUUUAAAAAUCACUUUACAAAAUGGUUUUCAGAUUCUAUUUUUAUUCCAAUAUUUUAUACAGAUUUUUUAUUAACUAUUAAUGAAAAAUCCUUUAAAUCAUAAACACACACACACACACACAUAUAUAUAUAUAUAUAUAUAUAUAUAUAUUAGUAUGCAAGAUGUAAUAGCAUGUUGUUACAUUUACCUAAGUAAACCACUUGAUUUUGAUAUUGAUUUUGUUUAAUUUUUCUAUUGAUUUCCUUCAUAAAUAUUUGUAAAUCUUCAUUCAAAAUACGCACAUAUUAAUUUUAAACAUAAUUUUAAAACAUAGUCAAUCUUCCAUAUAUAUAUAUAUAUAUAUAUAUAUCAAAAAUCAUCAUUUGCUUCAAUGCUGGUUUUUCAACAAUGACUUGAAAAAUCAUUAC
RNAcentral lists this long non-coding RNA (1439 nucleotides) under Physcomitrium patens. RNAcentral's name for it is "long non-coding RNA (PPAT_LNC010925)". The record is from RNAcentral. Lineage: Eukaryota; Viridiplantae; Streptophyta; Bryopsida; Funariales; Funariaceae.